Molecule: long non-coding RNA, 296 nt
Organism: Bombina bombina (fire-bellied toad)
Lineage: Eukaryota; Metazoa; Chordata; Amphibia; Anura; Bombinatoridae
Exons: 3
Source: RefSeq, a predicted model, not a curated record
AAUGGAGAUAUUGCUGCUCUCUCCUUUGAAGGGCUUCAUUUACAGCCGUUGAUAUUUAUGACAAAUCUGUGUAGAGAAGAAAAUCUGAAAAAACUGAUCGCAGCCAGCCCUCUCGCUAAAACCCUGGAGGAGAUAAAAGAAGCUCUUAAGUCACAGGCUGCACAGGACAAAUCCCUGGAAGAAAGUUCCAUACCAUUGACUAGUAGUGUCCUGGUUCCCAUGGAUAUGAGCAAGUUGUCACCUCGACAAUUUAUUGUCUACCGAUUUGGCAGUACCGUCUUACAUCUUCUCUGUCU